RNAcentral lists this ribosomal RNA (370 nucleotides) under uncultured organism. RNAcentral's name for it is "bacterial SSU rRNA". It matches the Rfam family "Bacterial small subunit ribosomal RNA", at positions 528 to 896 of the family's 1533-position model. The record is from RNAcentral.
GAGGGUGCAAGCGUUAAUCGGAAUUACUGGGCGUAAAGCGCGCGUAGGCGGCUGAUUAAGUCGGGUGUGAAAGCCCCGGGCUCAACCUGGGAAUUGCAUCCGAUACUGAUUGGCUAGAGUAUGAGAGAGGGAGGUAGAAUUCCACGUGUAGCGGUGAAAUGCGUAGAUAUGUGGAGGAAUACCGGUGGCGAAGGCGGCCUCCUGGCUUAAUACUGACGCUGAGGUGCGAAAGCGUGGGGAUCAAACAGGAUUAGAUACCCUGGUAGUCCACGCCGUAAACGAUGUCAACUAGCCGUUGGGCACCUUAGUGUGCUUGGUGGCGCAGCUAACGCGAUAAGUUGACCGCCUGGGGAGUACGGUCGCAAGAUUA